Molecule: long non-coding RNA, 523 nt
Filed under: Vigna radiata
Lineage: Eukaryota; Viridiplantae; Streptophyta; Magnoliopsida; Fabales; Fabaceae
Description: long non-coding RNA (VRAD_LNC014485)
Source: RNAcentral
GGACUGGGCCAAGUCCAAAAUGGAAAGAAAGUGUCCAUAUGAAUAAAGUGGGUGCAUCAAAGUUUUUUAGGCUGACAGACCAGGCUUGAGCCCAAGCAGAAGGGGGCUACGAAUGGAAGCAAAGGGGGUGCGGAAGAAAAAAAAAUCGCGAGCCCAGGCACCCAAGCCCAAGGCUCGAACCUAACCUAGAAACCUAAAGGGGUUUGAAACCCCUCAUCUCAUUCUGCAAUCUAAAACCUCAGAGACCUCACGCCCCUCUCCCACGCAUGUCUCCGAACAUCGUCUGCCACCGGUUCCUUCCGAACAGACACCACCACAACCAUCACCUGCGGCGGCCGACUCCACCGGAAUCGUGGCCGGCCAUUUCCUCUCUUCCUCUCGCGCUUGCCCAAUGUUGGAGUUCGCACACCACCGCCUCCAUCUGACAACCAUCGUCUCUGGCCGUCGUCUGCAAACCCCAAGGCUUGUCGUUGGUUGCCGGAGUCGUUACGAACCGAAACGGAGAGAAACCCUACUCCGCCGC